RNAcentral lists this long non-coding RNA (798 nucleotides) under Pan troglodytes (chimpanzee). Its description in RNAcentral is "lincRNA". Lineage: Eukaryota; Metazoa; Chordata; Mammalia; Primates; Hominidae. The record is from RNAcentral.
GUGAAUCAGGACCAGUGCAAUAAAUCACCCUCAAUACUUCCUGUGAAUGGCAACUGCUGAAGGGAAGCUUCUGCCUCUCAUCAUACACUGCCUCAGGGGGGAACAAAAUAGAUCAUUACAAUGGAGGCCAAAGAGUGCUUGAAUGUCUCUGCCGAAGGCUUUCAAUAAAUAUUUGUUGAAAAAGAAAGAAGGAAGAAAGAAAAGGAAGAAGGAACGAAGGAGGAAAGGAAAGAAGGAAAGAAGGAAGGAAGGAAGGAGUUAAUGAAGACUCAAGGGAGAGUUUGAAGGUGGGUUGGCAGAGACUGUGACCGCAACUGACUGCGUUCUGCAGAAUUAUGGUAAUGAAAUUGGAAGCCAACUUUCGUGAAGCAGAAAGCCUCAAGUUUCCAGGUGCUGUGCUCAGUCCAGGAAUACAAUGAUGAAUAAGAUCAAGGCCCUUAUUUCAGAGCUGACACACACUAUACAUAAUGCAUCAAAAAUUGUGUUCUCGCUAUAUUUCUGUUUAUUUGGUUUUAUCUGCAAGAAUAUAGAUAGCAUCUGCUUUGAUAUAAAACUUUUAUGUGUCUUAUGUAGUUGAUUUGUAAAUGUCCUAUCUAUAAAUAUAAAACAAUAAAUUACUAGUUACAGUUAGCUUAGGAAAACUUUUAAUCAUGUCCUACAUUUUACAAUUUGUAAUUUCUACCAAAUGUUUGUAUUUUUAUGUCUUAUUAAAUAUAAUAAAUAUUUGUCUUAACAUAUUUUAAUAGAAUUCCUCAUAUGUUUUGCAGAAAGCUAAUUAUCGUUUUCCAUGUGAUUUUU